GUGAGGCGGCGGUCGGGACGCGCGGCAUCUCCGCCCCGCGGCCCGCCGCGGCCCUCACGCCU
Molecule: microRNA precursor, 62 nt
Organism: Gallus gallus (chicken)
Lineage: Eukaryota; Metazoa; Chordata; Aves; Galliformes; Phasianidae
Source: Ensembl